CCUACGGGAGGCAGCAGUGAGGAAUAUUGCACAAUGGGGGAAACCCUGAUGCAGCGACGCCGCGUGAGUGAAGAAGUAUCUCGGUAUGUAAAGCUCUAUCAGCAGGGAAGAAAAUGACGGUACCUGAUUAAGAAGCCCCGGCUAACUACGUGCCAGCAGCCGCGGUAAUACGUAGGGGGCAAGCGUUAUCCGGAUUUACUGGGUGUAAAGGGAGCGUAGACGGCAGCACAAGUCUGGAGUGAAAUGCCGGGGCUUAACCCCGGAACUGCUUUGGAAACUGGGCAGCUUGAGUGCAGGAGAGGUAAGUGGAAUUCCUGGUGUAGCGGUGAAAUGCGUAGAUAUUAGGAGGAACACCAGUGGCGAAGGCGGCUUACUGGACUGUAACUGACGUUGAGGCUCGAAAGCGUGGGGAGCAAACAGGAUUAGAUACCCGUGUAGUC
This 440-nucleotide ribosomal RNA is filed under the name uncultured bacterium. RNAcentral describes it as "partial 16S ribosomal RNA". It matches the Rfam family "Bacterial small subunit ribosomal RNA", at positions 338 to 795 of the family's 1533-position model. The record is from RNAcentral.